GAAGAAGCAGAAAUAAGAUCGUAGGACGAGAAGACCCUAUCGAGCUUAAGUAAUAUGAUAUAGAUUUAUAUUAUGUCUUUUGUAUUAAUUACCCUUAUUUAAGGGAGUAUUUUUAUUAAGAGGAUGUGGAAUUUUAUAUUUUUUAUUUAGAUUGGGGCAAUCGCGGAAAAGAUAGAACUUCCGUUGUAGAUGUGAUUUAAAAAGUGACACCUUUAAAGCAUAUGUAAGUAAUAUUUUAAUGAUCCAUUUUUUAGAAGAAUGAGUAAAGGAAUAAGUUACCGUAGGGAUAACAGCGUAAUUCUUUUGGAGAGUUCAUAUUGAUAAAAGAGUUUGCGACCUCGAUGUUGGAUCGGGACUUCCGGGGGAUGCAGCAGUUCCUAAGGGUUGGUCUGUUCGACCAUUAAAGUCCUACGUGAU
This 417-nucleotide ribosomal RNA is filed under the name Asteroidea sp. NHM_054. RNAcentral describes it as "partial 16S ribosomal RNA". It matches the Rfam family "Bacterial large subunit ribosomal RNA", at positions 2055 to 2604 of the family's 2925-position model. The record is from RNAcentral. Lineage: Eukaryota; Metazoa; Echinodermata; Asteroidea.